UAAUACGGAGGAUGCAAGCGUUAUCCGGAAUUAUUGGGCGUAAAGCGUCCGCAGGUGGUUUUGAAAGUUUGCUGUCAAAGCGCGAGGCUCAACUUCGUACCGGCGGUGAAAACUUCAAGACUAGAGCUAGGUAGGGGUCACGGGAAUUCCCAGUGUAGCGGUGAAAUGCGUAGAUAUUGGGAAGAACACCAGCGGCGAAAGCGCGUGACUGGGCCUGAGCUGACACUCAUGGACGAAAGCUAGGGGAGCGAAAGGGAUUAGAUACCCCUGUAGUCCUAGCCGUAAACGAUGACAACUAGGUGUUGCCCGUAUCGACCCGGGCAGUGCCGUAGCCAACGCGUUAAGUUGUCCGCCUGGGGAGUACGCACGCAAGUGUG
This 377-nucleotide ribosomal RNA is filed under the name uncultured bacterium. RNAcentral describes it as "bacterial SSU rRNA". It matches the Rfam family "Bacterial small subunit ribosomal RNA", at positions 521 to 896 of the family's 1533-position model. The record is from RNAcentral.